UCCCUGCUGGACUAGUGGCUAGUACGCGGCACUCUGAUCGCCGCAGUCCGGGUUCGAUUCCUGGUCAGGGAG
RNAcentral lists this transfer RNA (72 nucleotides) under Pangasianodon hypophthalmus (striped catfish). Its description in RNAcentral is "tRNA-Gln". The record is from RNAcentral. Lineage: Eukaryota; Metazoa; Chordata; Actinopteri; Siluriformes; Pangasiidae.